UACGAAGGGGGCUAGCGUUGCUCGGAAUCACUGGGCGUAAAGGGUGCGUAGGCGGGUCUUUAUGUCAGGGGUGAAAUCCUGGAGCUCAACUCCAGAACUGCCUUUGAUACUGAAGAUCUUGAGUUCGGGAGAGGUGAGUGGAACUGCGAGUGUAGAGGUGAAAUUCGUAGAUAUUCGCAAGAACACCAGUGGCGAAGGCGGCUCACUGGCCCGAUACUGACGCUGAGGCACGAAAGCGUGGGGAGCAAACAGG
This 253-nucleotide ribosomal RNA is filed under the name uncultured bacterium. RNAcentral describes it as "partial 16S ribosomal RNA". It matches the Rfam family "Bacterial small subunit ribosomal RNA", at positions 524 to 776 of the family's 1533-position model. The record is from RNAcentral.